Molecule: ribosomal RNA, 253 nt
Filed under: uncultured bacterium
Lineage: Bacteria
Description: partial 16S ribosomal RNA
Rfam family: Bacterial small subunit ribosomal RNA
Source: RNAcentral
GACGAACCGUGCGAACGUUGUUCGGAAUCACUGGGCUUAAAGGGUGCGUAGGCGGGUCAUCAAGUCCGGGGUGAAAGCCCCCAGCUUAACUGGGGAAGUGCCUUGGAUACUGAUGGUCUUGAGGGGGGUAGGGGCAGUGGGAACUUCCGGUGGAGCGGUGAAAUGCGUUGAUAUCGGAAGGAACGCCGGUGGCGAAAGCGCACUGCUGGACCUCUUCUGACGCUGAGGCACGAAAGCCAGGGGAGCAAACGGG